Molecule: non-coding RNA, 985 nt
Organism: Salvia hispanica
Lineage: Eukaryota; Viridiplantae; Streptophyta; Magnoliopsida; Lamiales; Lamiaceae
Source: RefSeq, a predicted model, not a curated record
CGCCGCUGCAGUCCCAAUUCCAAUCGCCUCAUCUCGACCGGUGACAGUGGUGGCUCCGGUGCUGCCCGCUGCAUUCGCAGCGCUGGUAGCCCGGUCUCGCUCCCCUGUUGCCGGUGGUCCCCUGUUUCCCUUGUUCGCCCAAUUUCGAGCAGCCCGUCGCUUCUUCAUCUCAUCCCACCAAUCAGGAUAUCCGACGAGGUGGAAGCACUGCUCCUUGGUGUGUUUCCGGCCUCCACAGUGAGAGCACAAGAGCUUGUUCUUAUCUUCCUCGAAACGACGAUCCUCUCCACGGUGCGGAGUCUGCCCGCCUCGUCCGCCGCUGCCGCGAAUCGCCAAGCCCGCUGCAAUUCCGCCACUGUCAGCGCCGGCGGGUGUGGGUUUGAGCACGUUUUCGUUCGUCGCCUCCCUUCGGACGAUGGCGUAGGCGUUCUUCACCGACGGGAGUGGAUCCCGUUUUAGGAUGUCCUUCCUUGUUACUUCGUGGCUUUCAUUCAGAGCCAUCAAGAAUUGGUCGUAUACCUGUAGCGAAUCUCCUCCGCUGCCAUAGGUCACGGCCAGUGCCUCCCAUAGCUCCCUCGCCGUCGGAUAUUGCGAGACCUCAUUUACGAGUUCGGGUUCUAUGCUGUUAAUUAUCCACCCGAACACGCAAUGAUCCAGCGUCUGCCAUGUUUCAUGAUCUGGAUCUGUGAUUGGUGGAGGCUCUGAAUCCCGAGAGAUGUGGGAGGAUAAUCUCUUCCCACCAAUAGCUCGUUUUACGAGGGUCGCCCAGAGAGGGUUUCUACUCUUGGUUGAAAGGUCGGGAUUGGUAUGGACGGUGAUGAAAUUAUAUUCUGAGUCCAUUUUUCUCAACCUGCUCUGGUACCAUAUUGAAAUUGAUAUCCAAGAGAGAAGAGGAAGAAGACAUUGUAGGAGAAUUGUUUUCUUUUUCGUAUUUCAUCGUUUGGAGUAAGCCUCUUAAUAUAGAGGCUUACCCUAAUUUACAAAU